RNAcentral lists this unclassified non-coding RNA (337 nucleotides) under Hevea brasiliensis (rubber tree). Lineage: Eukaryota; Viridiplantae; Streptophyta; Magnoliopsida; Malpighiales; Euphorbiaceae. The record is from RNAcentral.
AAAAAAAAAAAAGUCAAUCAUGAUAACUCCUAGAAAUUUAUCUCCCACGUUUAUCCUUCCUUUCUUCUACACUACUUUUCCUUUCUUUUCUAGAAUAAAUAAAUAAAUAAAUAUGGAGAGGACCCAGGUAGUAUGUCUAACCAUUAAUCCAAUAGUUCUUUAUCUAGUUGGUGAAAGGUUCCCAAUUCAGAUUUUGGAAAUGUAUGGGAAGAGAAAAAUCAAUUUUCAGUAGUCUUUCCUUCCUUUUUAUCAUCUUUCAAGUACCAUUGAUGCAGUCCAAGAAGACUAGAUUGGGGAUUGUUUUGAUUUAAUCUUUCAUUGUAAAAUUAGGAAGUUU